RNAcentral lists this small nuclear RNA (319 nucleotides) under Carlito syrichta (Philippine tarsier). RNAcentral describes it as "7SK RNA (ENSTSYG00000021814.2)". It matches the Rfam family "7SK RNA". From Rfam's summary of the family: 7SK was discovered as an abundant small nuclear RNA in the mid-70s but a possible function has only recently been suggested. Two independent studies have found that 7SK RNA binds the CDK9/cyclin T complex (known as elongation factor P-TEFb). The record is from RNAcentral. Lineage: Eukaryota; Metazoa; Chordata; Mammalia; Primates; Tarsiidae.
GAAUGUGAGGAUGAUCUGACUGUGACACGUGUCACCCUUUAACACUAGGGUUAAUUCAGCUGAUCUGGCUGGCUAGACAGGUGUCCCCUUCCUCUCUCAGCACUCCAUAUGCAUUCAGCCUAGAGUUGCACACUCAGUCAAAGAGGAUGACCAUCCCUACUGGAGGAGGACCAUUCUUUGGUCAAUGAUAUACGAGUAGCUGUGUUCCUUGCUAGAACCUCCGAGCAAGCUCUCAAGAGUAACAUGGACAUGGAAGAGAAGAGGAAACAAAAGAUAGACACUGACAGAAUCCUGAACUUAAUGCCUGGAAUUUUUAUUA